This is a non-coding RNA of Rattus norvegicus (Norway rat), 4424 nucleotides long. NCBI's taxonomy places the organism in Eukaryota, Metazoa, Chordata, Mammalia, Rodentia, Muridae. The record is from RefSeq and is a predicted model, not a curated record.
AAGCUCCAACCAUUUGUCUAUGAAUUUCAUAAAGGCAUUGUUUUUGACAUCUGAGUAAUACACCAUUGAGUAAAUGUACCACAUUUUCUGUAUCCAUUCCUCUGUUGAAGGGCAUCUGGGUUCUCUCCAGCUUCUGGCUAUUAUAAAUAAGGGGGUGAUGAACAUAGUGGAGCAUGUGUCUUUUUUAUAUGUUGGGGCAUCUUUUGGGUAUAUGCCCAAGAGAGGUACAGCUGGAUCCUCAGGUAGUUCAAUGUGAAAUUUUCCUAGGAAUCUCCAGACUGAUUUCCAGAAUGGUUGUACCAGUUUGCACUCCCACCAAUAGUGGAGGAGUGUUCCUCUUUCUCCACAUCCUCGCCAGCAUUUAUUUUUACCUGAGUUUUUGAUCUUAGCCAUUCUCACUGGUUUGAGGUGAAAUCUCAGGGUUGUUUGGAUUUGAUUUCCCUUAUGACUUAAGAUGUUGAACAUUUCUUUAGGUGUUUCUCAGCCAUUCGGCAUUCCUCAGCUGUGAAUUCUUUGUUUAGCUCUGAACCCCAUUUUUUAAUAGGGUUACUUGUCUAACUUCUUGGGUUUUUUGCAUCUUUUGAAUAUAAGCCCUCUAUCUGUUGUUGGAUUGGUAAAUAUCUUUUCCCAAUCUCUUGGUUGCCGUUUUGUCCUAACCACAGUGUCCUUUCCCUUCCAGAAGCUUUGCAGUUUUAUGAGACCCCAUUUGUCAAUUCUUGAUCUUAGAGCAUAAACCAUUGGUGUUUUGUUCAGGAAAUUUUUUCCAGUGCCCAUGUGUUUGAGAUGCUGGCCUAGUUUUUCUUCUAUUAGUUUGACUGUAUCUGGUUUGAUUUGGAGGUCCUUAAUCCACUUGGACUUAAGCUUUGCACACGGUGAUAAGCAUGGAACGAUUUGCACUCUUCUACAUGCUGACCUCCAGUUGAACCAGCACCAUUUCCUGAAAAUGCUCUUUUUUCCAUUGAAUGGUUUUGGCUCCUUUGUGAAAAGUAAAGUGCCCAUAGGUGUGUGGGUUCAUUUCUGGGAGCUGCCUUAUGUAUAAUACCCAAGAGCUAGAAGAAACCGUAAUGGCAUUCAUCAGAGGAAUGAAUACAGAAAAUGUAGUACAUCUAAACAAUGGUGUACUACUCAACUCUCAAAACCAAUUAUCUCAAGAAAGCCAAAGACAAAUGGGAUGAUCUAGAAAAUAUCACAAUGAUUGAGGUUACCCAAUCACAAAAUGGUAUGAAAUCACACAUUUUAUGAAAUCACCAAAAGUCAAUAUUGGCACAAAAGCUAAAAUUACCAAAGAUGCAGUUCACAGACAACUGGAAGCUCAAUAAAAUGAUACACAAAAUGUGCAUGCUUUAAUCCUUUUCAAAAGGUGGACACAAUAAUAUCUAUGAAUUUCGAGCAGAGACUGAGGAAAUCCCAUUCAGAGCAGGCCGUACAUGUGGCAAAAAUAUAUACACAUCAGUCACCAAAACUAGAUAAGAUUGAUGGAGCUAAGAAGUGCAUUGUGCCAGGGACUGUAUAUAGAUCUUUCCUGUGAGACACAGCUAGAGCAUAUCAAAUAAAGAAGUGAAUUCUAGAGGCAAAUCAGUGAAUUGAAAACGGACAGUAGGGGAGUUAUAGAAAAAGAGGAGUGGGGCCGGUUAGGGAUCAUAUGUGCAGGUAAUAGGGAAAGGAAAUAACAUUUCAAAUGUAAAUAUAGAAAUACCCAAUUAAAACAGGAAUAAAAUUUGCUAAAAAAAUAAAAAGAAAUAAAGAAAUUUAAGAAAAGAACACUGUGAAGUAUUCACAGCUAUUGACUCAGAAAUGUAAAAGUCAUUUUCAUGGAAUGAUAGUCAAAGUAAUACUAAUGGAAAGACUGAGAUGAUGAAGACUCAACUAGAAACACUUCUCUCUCCCAGAUAUCAGUAUCAGACAAAAACUGCACUAUAGGCAUUCAGAGCAUGGUGGAGUUUACUCUGAGGCGAGGACUCAAUACUUGUCUUUCCAUUCUUCCUUAGGACCAUUUUCUUCUUAACAAAAAGAAUAAGGCUAUGAGAUCUCAGCAAAACAACUGUGCCCUGCCCAUCACUUGGCUUUGGAAUAAAAAAAAAAUGAUAUAAACUCUUUGACUUCCAGGAAUGAUAUGAACAGGAACUGUAAGAGCAGGAAGUCCAGAUGCUUCUGAGAGGACCCCAGCUCCUAAUUCCCAUUUGUAGACGGCUCAGAUCAAGACAAUCUCUUCAUGAAACAACUCAACACCUACUAAGGACUCAGAGAGCUUUCCCAAGGACCUUUUUUGUACCAAGACAGAAGGACCAAAACCAUCAGCUUUAAAGAAAACUGUGCCCUUCCCAACACUUGGCUUUGGAAAAAAGACAUGAAUGAUAUAAAUUCUCCGACUUCCAGGAACCAUAACUAGCAGGGAAGUCCAGAUGCAUCUGAGAGGCUCCCAUCUCCUGAUUACCAUAUUUGGAAGGCUCCAAUCAAUACUAUCUUUUCAGCAAACCUUCUCAACCACUACCCAGAAAUGACUGAGAUUUCCCAUGGACCACAUAUUUCUUUUUUUUUAUAACAAAGCAGAAGGCCAGCUUCCUUCUUCCCAUCUUUGAUCACUUCAUCCUCUUUUUUCUCCUUCCCAAAGGCUGUUUAUGCUGAAUUAGAGGCCAAAUAGUAAACCCUAGAGGUACUGAAGGACUACUGGAGAGGCAACUUCUGUCAGGACAACACUUGUUACAUCACAGAAGAAACUAGGGAUCUCCAGGAUACAACAGAUUUUUUUAGAUAGGCCUAAUGGUGAUGUCACUGAGAAUUGCCAUGGCCUACCUGCUAAAGUGUUUUCCUUUCAAUGACCAGAUUCGAGGGUGCCCUUGCAAGGUUUGUCUCCUGUGAAACAAUGGAAACCUUUUCAUACUACAUGUCUUUAAAGCUAGAAACUUCUCUUUAUUUCCUUAGUGGUUACAUGCUCUGAAAGGAAAAGAUAAUCAGGAGCUUUGCAUGGGUAGAAAAGAUCUCGGAACAUGGAGUGGAAGAGAUUCCUCUGGAUAAUAAUUUUAUUACCAGGUCCAUUACUGUGACAUACAGUUCAAUAUCCUAGGUUAUCUCUGUUUCCCAAAGGCCAGCAUUUUCCCUACAAUCCUUUAAUUGAAUUCAUAUUUCAUUACAGUUUCUCAUUGUACAUUCCUUGAUAGGUGACUUUAUAUAUUCCUGAAUGUGAAGUGAAAAAUUCUGUUUUCCAAUUUCAUGUUUUUUUGCAAUGAUUUUGGCAACCCAAGGGUCCCACCUAAGGUUGAAUAUAAAAAUGUAAAUAUUAUGUACCUAUUUCCAAUGAUGAACUUCCAAAUCCUUAGUUUAUCCAAAAAUUUCGAGACAUCAGAAAAGCUAAGGAAAACAUGAAAUAUAGAAUAUGUUUCAGUCGUCUCAUUAGACAUCAGUUCUUUAAUAUCUAACUUCCUGUUCCUCUAGGGCCAGACGUGAAGGUUUUCGAGGUUUUACCAUGGUUGUUACUUCAGGACAAACAUAAAAUUCAGGAGGAUGUGCAGGGAGAUGAAUGGCUUGAUGUCCAGGGAAACUUCAACUUCAAUAGGUUCAUAAGAACAAGAGGGAGGUGUUUGGAAUUGCCAUUUGUGGAUUCUACAUUCUUGACCUAGGUGUAUAUAAUCCAUGUGAAAAUUCCACCUAACCUCAUAGCUGUAGGAGCCACCAAAUGUAUAGUUGGAACCAGAUGUACAUCUUUCCUGAGAGACAUAGCUUGAGCAAGUCAAAUACAGAAGAGAAUGCUACUGGCAAACCAGUGAACCAAAAAUGGAUCUCUUGUUGGUAGUUUUUGAGAAAGAAUUACAAGAGCUUAAGGGGAUUUCAAUUCCAUAAGAACAACAAUGCCAGUGAACCAGAGCUUUCUGGUACUAAACCAAUAUUCAAAGACUGUACUUGGACAGACCUAUGUGUCCAACUGCAUAUGUAGCAGUGGAUGGCCUUGUUGGGAACCAAUGGAAGGAGAAGUUCCUGGUCCAACCUAGGUUUAACUCUCAGUUCAAGGUAAUAUCAAGGUUCACUAAGGUAGGUUAUAGAAGAAUGUUAGGGGGACUAGUUACGGGUCUUAUGGACAUGAAACUGGGAAAGAAAAUCAAAUUUGAAAUUCAAAUAUAGAAAUAUCCAAAUAAAAAAAGCAAUAAAAUUUGCUAAAAAUUAAAAAAAAUGAAAUAAAUUAAAGAAAAGACAUCUGUCAGCUAAUUACACAUAUUGACUCAGAAAUCUAAAGGGUAACUAUCAGGAAAUGGUAAUCAGAGUAAUACUAGUGGAAAGACUGAGAUGAUGAAGUCUCAACUAGAAGCUCUUCUCUCCCAAAUAUCAGUGUCAGACACAAACUGCACUAUAGGUAUCCAAAGCAUGGAGGCGUUUACACUGAGCUGAGGAGACAAUACUUGUCUAUCCUUUGUUUAUUCGGACCUUUUUCU